Molecule: microRNA precursor, 230 nt
Filed under: Oryza sativa (Asian cultivated rice)
Lineage: Eukaryota; Viridiplantae; Streptophyta; Magnoliopsida; Poales; Poaceae
Description: partial microRNA MIR433f precursor
Rfam family: MIR812 microRNA precursor family (bases 14-216)
Source: RNAcentral
UCAUCCGUCCCAAAAUAAGUGUAGCCAUGGUUUUCCACACCCAACUUUGAUCGUUCGUCUUAUUUGAAAUUUUUUUAAAAAAAAUUAAAAAUAUAAGUCACGAGUAAAUUACUAUUCAUGUUUAUCAUCUCAUAACAACAAAAAUACUAAUUAUAUAAAAAAAUAAAUAAGACAAACAAUUAAAGUUGGGCACGGAAACUCAUGGCCGCACUUAUUUUGGGAGGAAGAUA